GCUGGUGUAGCUCAGUUGGUAGAGCGCUCCCUUCGUAAGGGAUUGGUCGUUGGUUCAAAUCCAUCCACCAGCU
Molecule: transfer RNA, 73 nt
Filed under: Candidatus Dojkabacteria bacterium
Lineage: Bacteria
Description: tRNA-Thr
Rfam family: tRNA
About the family: Transfer RNA (tRNA) molecules are approximately 80 nucleotides in length. Their secondary structure includes four short double-helical elements and three loops (D, anti-codon, and T loops).
Source: RNAcentral